This 449-nucleotide ribosomal RNA is filed under the name uncultured bacterium. Its description in RNAcentral is "bacterial SSU rRNA". It matches the Rfam family "Bacterial small subunit ribosomal RNA", at positions 330 to 794 of the family's 1533-position model. The record is from RNAcentral.
GCCAGACUCCUACGGGAGGCAGCGGUGGGGGAUAUUGCACAAUGGGGGGAACCCUGAUGCAGCGACGCCGCGUGAGGGAAGACGGUUUUCGGAUUGUAAACCUCUGUCUUUAGGGACGAAACAAAUGACGGUACCUAAAGAGGAAGCCACGGCUAACUACGUGCCAGCAGCCGCGGUAAUACGGAGGAUGCGAGCGUUAUCCGGAUUUAUUGGGUUUAAAGGGUGCGUAGGCGGGCUUUUAAGUCAGCGGUAAAAAUUCGGGGCUCAACCCCGUCCGGCCGUUGAAACUGGGGGCCUUGAGUGGGCGAGAAGAAGGCGGAAUGCGUGGUGUAGCGGUGAAAUGCAUAGAUAUCACGCAGAACCCCGAUUGCGAAGGCAGCCUUCCGGCGCCCUACUGACGCUGAGGCACGAAAGUGCGGGGAUCGAACAGGAUUAGAUACCCGUGUAUA